CCUACGGGAGGCAGCAGUGGGGAAUAUUGGGCAAUGGGCGCAAGCCUGACCCAGCAACGCCGCGUGAAGGAAGAAGGCUUUCGGGUUGUAAACUUCUUUUCUGAGGGACGAAGAAAGUGACGGUACCUCAGGAAUAAGCCACGGCUAACUACGUGCCAGCAGCCGCGGUAAUACGUAGGUGGCAAGCGUUAUCCGGAUUUAUUGGGUGUAAAGGGCGUGUAGGAGGGAAAGCAAGUCAGAUGUGAAAACUCAGGGCUCAACCCUGAGCCUGCAUUUGAAACUGUUGUUCUUGAGUGCUGGAGGGGCAACCGGAAUUCAGGGUGUAGCGGUGAAAUGCGUAGAUAUAAGGAGGAACACCAGGGGCGAAGGCGAAUUGCUGGAGAGUAACUGACGCUGAGGCGCGAAAGUGUGGGGAGCAAACAGGAUUAGAUACCCGAGUAGUC
This 443-nucleotide ribosomal RNA is filed under the name uncultured bacterium. RNAcentral's name for it is "partial 16S ribosomal RNA". It matches the Rfam family "Bacterial small subunit ribosomal RNA", at positions 338 to 795 of the family's 1533-position model. The record is from RNAcentral.